AAUAGAUACCCGGGUAGUCCACGCCGUAAACGAUGGAUACUAGCUGUUUGAGCGCAAGUUUGAGUGGCUAAGCGAAAGUGAUAAGUAUCCCACCUGGGGAGUACGGGCGCAAGCCUGAAACUCAAAGGAAUUGACGGGGGCCCGCACAAGCGGUGGAGCAUGUGGUUUAAUUCGAUGAUACGCGAGGAACCUUACCAGGGCUUAAAUGUAGAUUGACGUAUUUGGAAACAGAUAUUUCUUCGGACAAUUUACAAGGUGCUGCAUGGUUGUCGUCAGCUCGUGCCGUGAGGUGUCAGGUUAAGUCCUAUAACGGGCGCAACCCCUGUUGUUAGUUGCCAGCGAGUAAUGUCGGGAACUCUAGCAAGACUGCCAGUGUAAACUGUGAGGAAGGUGGGGAUGACGUCAAAUCAUCACGGCCCUUACGUCCUGGGCCACACACGUGCUACAAUGGCCGGUACAGAGAGCAGCCACUUAGCGAUAAGGAGCGAAUCUAUAAAGCCGGUCACAGUUCGGAUCGGAGUCUGC
This 525-nucleotide ribosomal RNA is filed under the name uncultured bacterium. Its description in RNAcentral is "bacterial SSU rRNA". It matches the Rfam family "Bacterial small subunit ribosomal RNA", at positions 777 to 1308 of the family's 1533-position model. The record is from RNAcentral.